This is a non-coding RNA of Loktanella sp. 1ANDIMAR09, 144 nucleotides long. NCBI's taxonomy places the organism in Bacteria, Pseudomonadati, Pseudomonadota, Alphaproteobacteria, Rhodobacterales, Roseobacteraceae. The record is from Rfam.
GCGCAUUCUCAGGGCGGGGCGAAACUCCCCACCGGCGGUAUGUGGUUGUGCCAUGAGCCCGCGAGCGCCUUCCAUAUGGAAGGGUCAGCAGAUCAGGUGCGACGCCUGAGCCGACGGUCAUAGUCCGGAUGAAAGAGAAUGCGG